Molecule: ribosomal RNA, 465 nt
Filed under: uncultured bacterium
Lineage: Bacteria
Description: partial 16S ribosomal RNA
Rfam family: Bacterial small subunit ribosomal RNA
Source: RNAcentral
CUACGGGAUGCAGCAGUGGGGAAUAUUGGACAAUGGGGGAAACCCUGAUCCAGCAAUGCCGCGUGUGUGAAGAAGGCCUGCGGGUUGUAAAGCACUUUCGGUUGGGAGGACUGCUUCUAGCACUAAUAUUGUUGGAAGUUGACGUUACCUUCAGAAGAAGCACCGGCUAACUCCGUGCCAGCAGCUGCGGUAAUACGGAGGGUGCAAGCGUUAAUCGGAAGUACUGGGCGGAAAGCGCGCGUAGGCGGCUAGAUCAGUCGGGUGUGAAAGCCCCGGGCUUAACCUGGGAACUGCAUCCGAUACUGUCUAGCUUGAGUACAGGAGAGGAGAGUGGAAUUCCACAUGUAGCGGUGAAAUGCGUAGAUAUGUGGAGGAACACCAAUGGCGAAGGCAGCUCUCUGGCCUGAUACUGACGCUGAGGUGCGAAAGCGUGGGGAGCAAACAGGAUUAGAUACCCGCGUAGUC